Medicago truncatula (barrel medic) is the source of this 113-nucleotide microRNA precursor. It matches the Rfam family "MIR2593 microRNA precursor family". The record is from Rfam. NCBI's taxonomy places the organism in Eukaryota, Viridiplantae, Streptophyta, Magnoliopsida, Fabales, Fabaceae.
AUAUAAGCAAAUUUUACUUUUUAGGUUCAUUCAAUUAAUGAUGUAUGUGGUUUAUAAUAUGGACCAAAUACAUCAUUAGUUGAAUGUACCUAAAAAGUAAAAUUUGCUUAUAU